This 222-nucleotide ribosomal RNA is filed under the name uncultured bacterium. RNAcentral's name for it is "partial 16S ribosomal RNA". It matches the Rfam family "Bacterial small subunit ribosomal RNA", at positions 57 to 305 of the family's 1533-position model. The record is from RNAcentral.
GCAAGUCGAGCGCUUACCUUCGGGUAGGAGCGGCGGACGGGUUAGUAACGCGUGGGAACAUACCCUUCACUAUGGAAUAGCCUCGGGAAACUGAGAGUAAUACCAUAUACGCCCUUUGGGGGAAAGAUUUAUCGAAGAAGGAUUAGCCCGCGUUAGAUUAGGUAGUUGGUGGGGUAAUGGCCUACCAAGCCUACGAUCUAUAGCUGGUUUGAGAGGAUGAUC